CAAUAGCGUAUAUUUAAGUUGUUGCAGUUAAAAAGCUCGUAGUUGGAUUUCGGGUUGGCUUCAGCGGUCUCGCUUUGCGUUUGUACUGCUGCAGCCUACCUUCUUGUCGGGGACGGGCCUUCGGGCUUAAUUGCUUGGGGCCCGGAGUCGACGACGUUACUUUGAGUAAAUUAGAGUGUUCAAAGCAAGCCUACGCUCUGAAUAUAAUAGCAUGGGAUAACACGACAGGACUCUGGCCUAUCGUGUUGGUCUGUAGGACCAGAGUAAUGAUUAAGAGGGACAGUCGGGGGCAUUCGUAUUCCGUUGUCAGAGGUGAAAUUCUUGGAUUUACGGAAGACGAACAUCUGCGAAAGCAUUUGCCAAGGAUGUUUUCAUUGA
This 378-nucleotide ribosomal RNA is filed under the name uncultured eukaryote. Its description in RNAcentral is "partial 18S ribosomal RNA". It matches the Rfam family "Eukaryotic small subunit ribosomal RNA", at positions 592 to 976 of the family's 1831-position model. The record is from RNAcentral.